GGCUUCCUGGUUGAGUGCUAAGGACACUUGCCUUUCACCCAGGAGUCCCGGGUUCCAUCCCCGGUCGAGGAGCUA
This 75-nucleotide transfer RNA is filed under the name Rhamnusium bicolor. RNAcentral's name for it is "tRNA-OTHER". Lineage: Eukaryota; Metazoa; Arthropoda; Insecta; Coleoptera; Cerambycidae. The record is from RNAcentral.